GGAAGUAGAAGUCGUAACAAGGUCUCCGUAGGUGAACCUGCGGAGGGAUCAUUACAGAGUUCAUGCCCUACCGGGUCGAUCUCCCACCCUAUGUUAUUAUUACUUUGUUGCUUUGGCGGGCCGUUAGGCUCCGGCCCGACUACCGGCCCCGGCUGGUAAGCGCCCGCCAGAGGACCCAAAACCCUGAAUAUUAGUGUCGUCUGAGUACUAUAUAAUAGUUAAAACUUUCAACAACGGAUCUCUUGGUUCUG
RNAcentral lists this unclassified non-coding RNA (251 nucleotides) under plant metagenome. RNAcentral describes it as "partial contains small subunit ribosomal RNA, internal transcribed spacer 1, and 5.8S ribosomal RNA". The stretch from base 1 to 54 matches the Rfam family "Eukaryotic small subunit ribosomal RNA", at positions 1778 to 1831 of the family's 1831-position model. The record is from RNAcentral.